GACAUUGAUCUAUCACAAUCCACACCUGUGAACUUGCUUGUUGGCCUCCGCUUGCGGGCUGGGCCAGUUGGAUUAAGUUCCGACUGGUUCGGGGCCUCAUUCCGGCUUCGGCUGGCUUGGGGUCGGUCUCUAUUAAUAACCAACACCAAACCAAACUAUAAAACAAACUGAGGACGGCUUAGAGCCUGACUCACUAACCAAGACAACUCUGAACAACGGAUAUCUUGGCUAGCACAACGAUGAAGAACGCAGCGAAAUGCGAUACGUAGUGUGAAUUGCAGAAAUACGUGAACCAUCGAAUCUUUGAACGCAAAUUGCGCUCGCGGCUUCGGCCAAGAGCAUGUCUGCCUCAGCGUCGGGUUAAUACUCGCUAAAACUCUCCUUGAGAGUCUAAGCGGACCUGGCUUUCCCGACUCAUUUAGUUGAGUCGGGUCUGCUGAAGUACAGAGGUUGACGCAUGGACCCAAUAUGGGCCUCAACUGGGUAGGCAAUUCGUUGCUAAUGCUUUAGUUGAUGGCUUCGGACUGUGCAAUGUCGGCCCAACCAGGAACCGAGCUUGCUCGGAACAACCCAUUUUCUCGACCUGAGCUCAGGCAAGAUUACCCGCUGAACUUAAGCAUAUCAAUAAGCGGAGGAAAAGAAAUAAACCAGGA
This 653-nucleotide ribosomal RNA is filed under the name Chlamydomonas sp. KU101. RNAcentral describes it as "eukaryotic LSU rRNA". The stretch from base 205 to 358 matches the Rfam family "5.8S ribosomal RNA". The record is from RNAcentral. RNAcentral also lists the same sequence under 1 other name. Lineage: Eukaryota; Viridiplantae; Chlorophyta; Chlorophyceae; Chlamydomonadales; Chlamydomonadaceae.